ACAUGCAAGUCGAACGCGGAAGAAUCUCUCGGGAUUUUGAAGAGUGGCGAACGGGUGAGGAACACGUAAGGAUCUACCUUUCGGUUGGGGAUAACUUCUGGAAACGGGAGCUAAUACCCAAUAUGCUGUGGAGUGAAAGAAUUUCGCCGAAAGACGAUCUUGCGUCUGAUUAGCUAGUUGGGGUAGUAAUGGCACACCAAGGCGACGAUCAGUAGCUGGUCUGAGAGGAUGGACAGCCACAUUGGGACUGAGACACGGCCCAGACUCC
This 268-nucleotide ribosomal RNA is filed under the name unidentified marine bacterioplankton. RNAcentral describes it as "partial 16S ribosomal RNA". It matches the Rfam family "Bacterial small subunit ribosomal RNA", at positions 53 to 339 of the family's 1533-position model. The record is from RNAcentral.